Molecule: ribosomal RNA, 465 nt
Filed under: uncultured bacterium
Lineage: Bacteria
Description: partial 16S ribosomal RNA
Rfam family: Bacterial small subunit ribosomal RNA
Source: RNAcentral
GACGAACGCUGGCGGCGUGCUUAACACAUGCAAGUCGUACGGUAAGGCCCUUUCGGGGGUACACGAGUGGCGAACGGGUGAGUAACACGUGAGUAACCUGCCCACCACUUUGGGAUAACGCUAGGAAACUGGUGCUAAUACUGGAUAUGUGCUCCUGCUGCAUGGUGGGGGUUGGAAAGCUCCGGCGGUUGUGGAUGGACUCGCGGCCUAUCAGCCUGUUGGUGGGGUAGUGGCCUACCAAGGCGGCGACGGGUAGCCGGCCUGAGAGGGUGACCGGCCACAAUGGGGAUGGGGUACGGCCCAGACUCCUACGGGAGGCAGCAGGGGGGAAUAUUGCACAAUGGGCGCAAGCCUGAUGCAGCAACGCCGCGUGCGGGAUGACGGGCUUCGGGUUGUAAACCGCUUUCAGCAGGGACGAAGCUUUUUGUGACGGUACCUGCAGAAGAAGCACCGGCUAACUACGUG